AACAGGAAGCAAGCGAAAUAGGUGUUGCAGAAUCCAUUUUUCCAAUAGCAGCUUCCUUACAAAUAGACAUGUUCUCUUCCAUACAUGUAAUUUGACAAUACGAAGGGAUAAUCUAGGAGAUCUUUCACGGCAGCAUUGUCCUUAAAGGAUAUUUUGGAUAUAUUUUUAUUACAAUCUUAUGACAUAAUCUAAAAUAUUAUUUUUAUUAGAAAAACAAUGAAGUUUUUUUUUUUUUUUUACAAAAUGGGUUACGUGAUAUUAAAUAUAAUUAGAAUUUACUUAACAAUAUAUUUCUUUGAAAAAUACACUUUUUUUUUAACAAUAUUAGUAAAAGUAGUGUGGAGGAAAAUAUAUUUUUUUCAAA
RNAcentral lists this long non-coding RNA (364 nucleotides) under Manihot esculenta (cassava). Its description in RNAcentral is "long non-coding RNA (MESC_LNC000421)". The record is from RNAcentral. Lineage: Eukaryota; Viridiplantae; Streptophyta; Magnoliopsida; Malpighiales; Euphorbiaceae.